This 253-nucleotide ribosomal RNA is filed under the name uncultured bacterium. RNAcentral's name for it is "partial 16S ribosomal RNA". It matches the Rfam family "Bacterial small subunit ribosomal RNA", at positions 524 to 776 of the family's 1533-position model. The record is from RNAcentral.
UACGAAGGGGGCUAGCGUUGCUCGGAAUCACUGGGCGUAAAGGGUGCGUAGGCGGGUUUUUAAGUCAGGGGUGAAAUCCUGGAGCUCAACUCCAGAACUGCCUUUGAUACUGAAGAUCUUGAGUCCGGGAGGGGUGAGUGGAACUGCGAGUGUAGAGGUGAAAUUCGUAGAUAUUCGCAAGAACACCAGUGGCGAAGGCGGCUCACUGGCCCGGUACUGACGCUGAGGUGCGAAAGCGUGGGGAGCAAACAGG